This is a long non-coding RNA of Apodemus sylvaticus (European woodmouse), 961 nucleotides long. RefSeq lists it as uncharacterized. The transcript is spliced from 3 exons. NCBI's taxonomy places the organism in Eukaryota, Metazoa, Chordata, Mammalia, Rodentia, Muridae. The record is from RefSeq and is a predicted model, not a curated record.
GCUGCCACAGAAUGAACGCCAGAGGAAGGAAGCAGGAAUGAGCGAAGUGUUGGAAGGAAUCUUUCUAAAGCUAAAUACUCAUGACACACAGUUGGGGACAUGACAGGGUGGGUACUGCACAGACCAAGAUGUCCAUUUCCAGGGUCAAAGCUGACUCACCCACUUCUCUAUCACCCAGCUGCUCAAAGCUGAACGCACCGGAUUCACUCUGGAUGCCCUGCCUGGAUCUGCCCUGUACCUCCGUUCAAGCCACGGCCACCUUCUGCCUUGACAGCAGCAGUCCCUGCCAGCAGGAGCCGAGGGCCGGGCCACACAGCGCCCUUCAGCCUCACCGACACCAGUCACCCAUCCCCUGGACUGCAGCGUCUCAGCAGAGACCCUGAAGAUUCCUUAUGGACAGGCAGCUGUGGUGCAGUCACAAGAUGGAACCUGGCACAAAUCCUCCUGUCAGCCCUGUACUGAAGCAUUCCUAGAGGCAGGUCUCCCAGGCUCUAGCCUGAACACCUGGGCUCAUCCCCAGAAACCCUCCCGGCGGAAGAACUAGCCCACAAGUCAGAAGAAGAACUAGCCCACAAGUCGUCCUCUGGUAUCAACAUGUAUGCUGUGGAACGCACAGGACUCUCCCACCCUGAAGCACUCAAAAAUACAUAUUAAAAUGUAAAAAAUUAAAUGGCAGAGAGGAAGAAUAUAAAGAACGUAUGAACUGUGUGGCCCAUCAUGUGCAGGUGACGUGAUUACUGUGAUGUCAGCAGGGGAAUUAGCAACACUUUCUUGGACUUCUUCAGACUCUUGAUAGGACCAGACAAUAGUUACUAGGCUGACAGGACCGAUGUUGGCAGUAGCCACAUUCAUUCCACUUGUCAAACUGAAACAGGAUGAAAUGAAGUCCAGAGACCACACUGCUUAGAAACCAGGAUUUAUAAACUCUCAAGUUUAUGAAUUGCCGAGUUUUAAUUUCAGG